This 207-nucleotide ribosomal RNA is filed under the name uncultured bacterium. Its description in RNAcentral is "partial 16S ribosomal RNA". It matches the Rfam family "Bacterial small subunit ribosomal RNA", at positions 568 to 774 of the family's 1533-position model. The record is from RNAcentral.
UGCGUAGGCGGCGCUGCAUGUCGGAUGUGAAAUCUCACGGCUUACCCGUGAAACUGCAUUCGAAACUGCAGUGCUAGAGUAUGGGAGAGGAGAGCGGAACUCUUGGUGUAGCGGUGAAAUGCGUAGAUAUCAAGAAGAACACCGGUGGCGAAAGCGGCUCUCUGGACCAAUACUGACGCUGAGGCACGAAAGCUGGGGGAGCAAAGA